Molecule: ribosomal RNA, 489 nt
Filed under: Triticum aestivum (bread wheat)
Lineage: Eukaryota; Viridiplantae; Streptophyta; Magnoliopsida; Poales; Poaceae
Description: partial small subunit ribosomal RNA
Source: RNAcentral
AUGUCCGUUUGGAAAGCCUGGGCUCCUCCCAAGUGCAAGUUUUUUGCUUGGCUCGUCAUCCAAAAUCGUGUUUGGACUGCGGACAGGCUGCAGCGUCGGGGCUGGCCCAAUUGUGGGCUUUGCCCUUUAUGCAAGCAAGUUGCUGAAUCUGCAUCACACCUCCUAUUCCAAUGCAGAUUUUCCCAACGUGUUUGGGCUAAUGUGGCUUCAUGGAUCGGCAUAAACAGUGCUGUAGUUGCAGGCUGGCGUCACGAAAUUUUUGUAAAGGAAUAGUGGUUCAAGACUAUCCUAGAUAGGGGCCCCCCGAGGAAGGCUCUGGCCUCCAUGCUCAUGCUUGUUUCCUGGGAACUCUGGAAUGAGCGCAAUGCAAGAGUUUUUAGGAAUGUCGCUACCACGGUGACCAUGAUCACUGCUAGGAUAAAGGAGGAGGCUCGUAUUUGGGCGCUUGCAGGCGCUAGGCACCUCUGUAAUGUAAUGCCGCGAGAGUAG